This 1347-nucleotide ribosomal RNA is filed under the name uncultured bacterium. RNAcentral describes it as "bacterial SSU rRNA". It matches the Rfam family "Bacterial small subunit ribosomal RNA", at positions 28 to 1381 of the family's 1533-position model. The record is from RNAcentral.
GACGAACGCUGGCGGCGUGCUUAACACAUGCAAGUCGAACGGAAAGGCCCUGCUUUUGUGGGGUGCUCGAGUGGCGAACGGGUGAGUAACACGUGAGUAACCUGCCCUUGACUUUGGGAUAACUUCCGGAAACUGGGGCUAAUACCGGAUAGGAGCUCCUGCUGCAUGGUGGGGGUUGGAAAGUUUCGGCGGUUGGGGAUGGACUCGCGCCUCAUCAGCUUGUUGGUGGGGUAGCGGCUUACCAAGGCUUUGACUGGUACCCGGCCUGAGAGGGUGACCGGCCACAUUGGGACUGAGAUACUGUCCAUACUCCUACGGUAGGCAGCAUUGGGGAAUAUUGCACAAUGGGCGGAAGCCAGAUGCAUCAACGCCGCGUGCGGGAUGACGGCCUUCGGGUUGUAAACCGCUUUCGCCUGUGACGAAUCGUGAGUGACGGUUAUGGGUAAAGAAGCACCGGCUAACUACGUGCCAGCAGCCGCGGUGAUACGCAGGGUGCGAGUGUUGUUUCGGAUUUAUUGCGCGUCCCGGGUUCUAAUGUGGUUGAUCUUGUUGUAAGUGUAAUCCUGGCCCCUUAACCCUGAGCGCGCUGUCGAUAUGGCUUGACUUGACCCUGUGGGGGAGAAUGGAAUUCCUGGUGGAGCGGUGGAAUGCGCAGAUAUCAGGAGGAACACCAGUGGCGAAGGCGGUUCUCUGGGCCUUUCCUGACGCUGAGGAGCGAAAGCGUGGGGAGCGAACAGGCUUAGAUACCCUGGUAGUCCACGCUGUAAACGGUGGGUACUAGGUGUGGGGUCCAUUCCACGGGUUCCGUGCCGUAGCUAACGCUUUAAGUACCCCGCCUGGGGAGUACGGCCGCAAGGCUGAAACUCAAAGGAAUUGACGGGGCCCCGCACAAGCGGCGGAGCAUGCGGAUUAAUUCGAUGCAACGCGUAGAACCUUACCUGGGUUUGACAUGGAUCGGGAGUGCUCAGAGAUGGGUGUGCCUCUUUUGGGGUCGGUUCACAGGUGGUGCAUGCCUGUCGUCAGCUCGUGUCGUGAGAUGUUGGGUUAAGUCCCGCAACGAGCGCAACCCUUGUUCACUGUUGCCAGCACGUUAUGGUGGGGACUCAGUGGAGACCGCCGGGGUCAACUCGGAGGAAGGUGGGGAUGACGUCAAGUCCUCAUGCCCCUUAUGUCCAGGGCUUCACGCAUGCUACAAUGGCUGGUACAGAGAGUGGCGAGCCUGUGAGGGUGAGCGAAUCUCGGAAAGCCGGUCUCAGUUCGGAUUGGGGUCUGCAACUCGACCUCAUGAAGUCGGAGUCGCUAGUAAUCGCAGAUCAGCAACGCUGCGGUGAAUACGUUCCCGGGGCU